GACGAACGCUGGCGGCGUGCCUAAUACAUGCAAGUCGAACGAGGGCAACCGGUGCUUGCACUGGUCAAUCUAGUGGCGAACGGGUGAGUAACACGUGGGUAACCUGCCCAUCAGAGGGGGAUAACAUCCGGAAACGGAUGCUAAAACCGCAUAGGUCUUCGAACCGCAUGGUUUGAAGAGGAAAAGAGGCGCAAGCUUCUGCUGAUGGAUGGACCCGCGGUGCAUUAGCUAGUUGGUGAGGUAACGGCUCACCAAGGCCGUGAUGCAUAGCCGACCUGAGAGGGUGAUCGGCCACAUUGGGACUGAGACACGGCCCAAACUCCUACGGGAGGCAGCAGUAGGGAAUCUUCCGCAAUGGACGCAAGUCUGACGGAGCAACGCCGCGUGAGUGAAGAAGGUUUUCGGAUCGUAAAACUCUGUUGUUAGAGAAGAACAAGUGCUAGAGUAACUGUUAGCGCCUUGACGGUAUCUAACCAGAAAGCCACGGCUAACUACGUG
This 498-nucleotide ribosomal RNA is filed under the name uncultured bacterium. RNAcentral's name for it is "partial 16S ribosomal RNA". It matches the Rfam family "Bacterial small subunit ribosomal RNA", at positions 28 to 507 of the family's 1533-position model. The record is from RNAcentral.